GCGCAGCAGGCGCGAAACCUCCGCAAUGCGCGAAAGCGCGACGGGGCCACCCCGAGUGCCGCCCGCUGAGGGCGGCUUUUCCCCGGUGUAGACAGCCGGGGGAAUAAGGGGAGGGCAAGUCUGGUGUCAGCCGCCGCGGUAAUACCAGCUCCCCGAGUGGUGGGGACGAUUAUUGGGCCUAAAGCGUCCGUAGCCGGCCCGGCAAGUCUCCCGUUAAAUCCAGCGAUCUAAUCGCUGGACUGCGGGAGAUACUGUCGGGCUAGGGGGCGGGAGAGGCCGGCGGUAUUCCCGGGGUAGGGGUGAAAUCCUAUAAUCCCGGGAGGACCACCAGUGGCGAAGGCUGCCGGCUGGAACGCGCCCGACGGUGAGGGACAAAAGCCGGGGGAGCGAACCGGAUUAGAUACCCCGGUAGU
RNAcentral lists this ribosomal RNA (413 nucleotides) under uncultured microorganism. Its description in RNAcentral is "bacterial SSU rRNA". It matches the Rfam family "Archaeal small subunit ribosomal RNA", at positions 330 to 745 of the family's 1478-position model. The record is from RNAcentral.